Molecule: antisense RNA, 72 nt
Filed under: Micromonospora eburnea
Lineage: Bacteria; Bacillati; Actinomycetota; Actinomycetes; Micromonosporales; Micromonosporaceae
Description: ASpks TB sRNA
Rfam family: ASpks TB sRNA
Source: RNAcentral
CUUGACGGAGCCGAGCCACAGCGGCUGGCCGCCGUCACGUUGCCCGUAGGUCGCCAGCAACGCCUGUGCCUC